GUCACAGCCGCCAUUGCAAGAGUUGUAAAGUUCGCGGGAAAGUUGAUUUCGUAGAAAAUAGCAGAUCACCAUGUACAAGUUUGUCAACCGAAACAAAUGACUUUGUUUUGAAGCUAGUAUUUACUGCUUCAAACGUUCAGAUAUCUGCAAUCUAACCAGUGUCUACAUCUGCAACAUUGAAUGUGACAUGGUGUGGAGAUUGAUCGUUUCAAAUAUACCGUCUGGUGGAUGCAGUAAAAACAAGAGGAAUCUCUGGUGUACCCACUACCAUGACUAGCUGGCCAAAUGAGUAGACGGACAUGGAUUUACAAACUUGGGCAUUGAAAUAAGCACUGUCAGGGUUUCUGCCAGAGGGUACAAAGGGUGCCGAUGACUCUUACAGAAGAAAUAAUGCCUGGAUGGAAGGAGUUUGAGGUGUUAAGACUGCAGCCAAAUACGAGUGAAAUGUCUGACACAACUUUAAAAGUUAUAGACAUCAGUUGGAUGGCCAACCAUUUUCAGACUAAUCAAAUAAAGCAUUUAUUUUUUA
This 529-nucleotide long non-coding RNA is filed under the name Gigantopelta aegis. RNAcentral describes it as "uncharacterized LOC121373422, transcript variant X2". Lineage: Eukaryota; Metazoa; Mollusca; Gastropoda; Neomphalida; Peltospiridae. The record is from RNAcentral.